RNAcentral lists this ribosomal RNA (2099 nucleotides) under Neisseria oralis. RNAcentral describes it as "bacterial LSU rRNA". It matches the Rfam family "Bacterial large subunit ribosomal RNA", at positions 129 to 2266 of the family's 2925-position model. The record is from RNAcentral. Lineage: Bacteria; Pseudomonadati; Pseudomonadota; Betaproteobacteria; Neisseriales; Neisseriaceae.
CACUGCAUUCUGUGCAGUAUCCUAAGUUGAAUACAUAGACUUAGAGAAGCGAACCCGGAGAACUGAACCAUCUAAGUACCCGGAGGAAAAGAAAUCAACCGAGAUUCCGCAAGUAGUGGCGAGCGAACGCGGAGGAGCCUGUACGUGAUAAUUGUCGAGAUAGAAGAACAAGCUGGAAAGCUUGGCCAUAGUGGGUGAUAGUCCCGUAUUCGAAAUCUCAAUAGUGGUACUAAGCGUACGAAAAGUAGGGCGGGACACGUGAAAUCCUGUCUGAAUAUGGGGGGACCAUCCUCCAAGGCUAAAUACUCAUCAUCGACCGAUAGUGAACCAGUACCGUGAGGGAAAGGCGAAAAGAACCCCGGGAGGGGAGUGAAAUAGAACCUGAAACCUGAUGCAUACAAACAGUGGGAGCGCCCUUGUGGUGUGACUGCGUACCUUUUGUAUAAUGGGUCAACGACUUACAUUCAGUAGCGAGCUUAACCGGAUAGGGGAGGCGUAGGGAAACCGAGUCUUAAUAGGGCGAAGAGUUGCUGGGUGUAGACCCGAAACCGAGUGAUCUAUCCAUGGCCAGGUUGAAGGUGCCGUAACAGGUACUGGAGGACCGAACCCACGCAUGUUGCAAAAUGCGGGGAUGAGCUGUGGAUAGGGGUGAAAGGCUAAACAAACUCGGAGAUAGCUGGUUCUCCCCGAAAACUAUUUAGGUAGUGCCUCGAGCAAGACACUGAUGGGGGUAAAGCACUGUUAUGGCUAGGGGGUUAUUGCAACUUACCAACCCAUGGCAAACUCAGAAUACCAUCAAGUGGUUCCUCGGGAGACAGACAGCGGGUGCUAACGUCCGUUGUCAAGAGGGAAACAACCCAGACCGCCAGCUAAGGUCCCAAAUGAUAGAUUAAGUGGUAAACGAAGUGGGAAGGCCCAGACAGCCAGGAUGUUGGCUUAGAAGCAGCCAUCAUUUAAAGAAAGCGUAAUAGCUCACUGGUCGAGUCGUCCUGCGCGGAAGAUGUAACGGGGCUCAAAUCUAUAACCGAAGCUGCGGAUGCUAGUUUACUAGCAUGGUAGGGGAGCGUUCUGUAGGCCGAAGAAGGUGCAUUGUAAAGUGUGCUGGAGGUAUCAGAAGUGCGAAUGUUGACAUGAGUAGCGAUAAAGCGGGUGAAAAGCCCGCUCGCCGAAAGCCCAAGGUUUCCUACGCAACGUUCAUCGGCGUAGGGUGAGUCGGCCCCUAAGGCGAGGCAGAAAUGCGUAGUCGAUGGGAAACAGGUUAAUAUUCCUGUACUUGAUUCAAAUGCGAUGUGGGGACGGAGAAGGUUAGGUUAGCAAGCUGUUGGAAUAGCUUGUUUAAGCCGGUAGGUGGAAGACUUAGGCAAAUCCGGGUCUUCUUAACACCGAGAAGUGAUGACGAGUGUCUACGGACAUGAAGUAACCGAUACCACGCUUCCAGGAAAAGCCACUAAGCUUCAGUUUGAAUCGAACCGUACCGCAAACCGACACAGGUGGGCAGGAUGAGAAUUCUAAGGCGCUUGAGAGAACUCGGGAGAAGGAACUCGGCAAAUUGAUACCGUAACUUCGGGAGAAGGUAUGCCCUCUAAGGUUAAGGACUUGCUCCGUAAGCCUUGGAGGGUCGCAGAGAAUAGGUGGCUGCGACUGUUUAUUAAAAACACAGCACUCUGCUAACACGAAAGUGGACGUAUAGGGUGUGACGCCUGCCCGGUGCUGGAAGGUUAAUUGAAGAUGUGAGAGCAUCGGAUCGAAGCCCCAGUAAACGGCGGCCGUAACUAUAACGGUCCUAAGGUAGCGAAAUUCCUUGUCGGGUAAGUUCCGACCCGCACGAAUGGCGUAACGAUGGCCACACUGUCUCCUCCCGAGACUCAGCGAAGUUGAAGUGGUUGUGAAGAUGCAAUCUACCCGCUGCUAGACGGAAAGACCCCGUGAACCUUUACUGUAGCUUUGCAUUGGACUUUGAAGUCACUUGUGUAGGAUAGGUGGGAGGCUUAGAAGCAGAGACGCUAGUUUCUGUGGAGCCGUCCUUGAAAUACCACCCUGGUGGCUUUGAGGUUCUAACCCAGACCCGUUAUCCGGGUCGGGGACCGUGCAUGGUAGGC